AGCAUCAUUUGUGGCAUAUUUUAGAUUAAGUAAACAUGAAAAGCAAUCCUGAUGAAUUAAUUUAUCUGGAUCCAAGAUCUCAUUUUCAAUUUUGUAUGUUCAAGACAAUGUAUUAUAAAAGUCAACCAUAAUAUCAAUAUUCUUAAUUUAUUCUAAGAAAUAAAGCUGUUUGCUACUUCUAAUUGUUUCCUUCUUCUAAUCAAUAUAUUUUCCUACAGGCAAACUAAUGAUCAUGUACUGGGAGGCAUGGUCUCAGAAUAAAGAAAUCAAUUACAUGAUUUAAUACCUAAUAUCAUCAAAUUCUGUUAAUCUGAUGCUUCAUUCACCACAGUGGAGCUGCCUCUACCAUUGAAUGCGAAGACAGCUGUUUCACUCAAGACCAAAAGAUUGAGGACUGGAGAGAUCUGUUAUCAAGAAACUGACUUGACCACAAGAACAAUUUACAGGUAUUACUUGAGCUCCUCAAGGAUGAAAUCCUACCUUUUACUUUUUUGGUUCCUUCUCCCACUCCUAAAAAACACAGACGAGUGGCUUAUUGAGUGAAGUUUAUAAUUGGUCAGUUUGAAAGAAUGAAAUGAGUAAAUGAUGAAUUUAAGCUAUUUCCUCAUAAUUUAGAGCCAUUACAUGAUUUCAAAGUUUUUUUGUUUGUUUGUUUGUUUGUUUGUUUUUCUAAAUCAGGGAUGGGGAGAGAAUCUUCUAAAUAUGUCAGCUAGAUCAGCAGCUUUCAGAUUUUAGCAUGCUUCAGAAUGAGCUGGAAUAUUUGUUAAAGUAGAUUUGAGGGGUUCCACGUGGAGUUUCCGAUUCAGGAGAUCUGGGGGUGGGGUGGGAACAAAACGUUUGUAGUUUUUAGCAAGUUCCCAGAGAUGUUUGUGGUGCUGAUCUAGAGACCACACAUCAUGAACCACUGAUCAGGUGAUAUAUUAAAACAUUAAAAACAGUGUGCUCUUCACAGAGAACAAUGCCAGAAUGUUUUGUUCUUGAAAUGCCCCAAAUAUCCUUCACUUCCCUUAGCCUAACAAAGCAGAAGGUGCUGGUAUUAUACAUCCUCAGUGCUGCCACCCACUCAGGGUGACCCUAGGUAAACCACAAAAUCUAUUUGCACUGAAGCUUCUUUUUAGGAAGGAAGGCAUGGUAACUCUCCUUUUUGGCAAACUCUUCCCAAAUUUUUUAGAAUGAAAACUGUG
Molecule: long non-coding RNA, 1184 nt
Filed under: Sus scrofa (pig)
Lineage: Eukaryota; Metazoa; Chordata; Mammalia; Artiodactyla; Suidae
Description: lncRNA (ENSSSCG00005015271.1)
Source: RNAcentral